Molecule: ribosomal RNA, 301 nt
Filed under: uncultured bacterium
Lineage: Bacteria
Description: partial 16S ribosomal RNA
Rfam family: Bacterial small subunit ribosomal RNA
Source: RNAcentral
CAGCCGCCAGGUAAUACAGAGGGUGCGAGCGUUAAUCGGAUUUACUGGGCGUAAAGCGUGCGUAGGCGGCUUCUUAAGUCGGAUGUGAAAUCCCUGAGCUUAACUUAGGAAUUGCAUUCGAUACUGGGAAGCUAGAGUAUGGGAGAGGAUGGUAGAAUUCCAGGUGUAGCGGUGAAAUGCGUAGAGAUCUGGAGGAAUACCGAUGGCGAAGGCAGCCAUCUGGCCUAAUACUGACGCUGAGGUACGAAAGCAUGGGGAGCAAACAGGAUUAGAUACCCCAGUAGUCCCUGUCUCUUAUACA